This 353-nucleotide unclassified non-coding RNA is filed under the name soil metagenome. Its description in RNAcentral is "partial contains 5.8S ribosomal RNA, internal transcribed spacer 2, and large subunit ribosomal RNA". The stretch from base 1 to 120 matches the Rfam family "5.8S ribosomal RNA", at positions 35 to 154 of the family's 154-position model. The record is from RNAcentral.
GAUGAAGAACGCAGCGAAAUGCGAUAAGUAAUGUGAAUUGCAGAAUUCAGUGAAUCAUCGAAUCUUUGAACGCACAUUGCGCCCGCCAGUAUUCUGGCGGGCAUGCCUGUUCGAGCGUCAUUAGAACCCUCAGGCCCCCGGGCCUGGCGUUGGGGAUCGGCGGAAGCCCCCUGCGGGCACAACGCCGUCCCCCAAAUACAGUGGCGGUCCCGCCGCAGCUUCCAUUGCGUAGUAGCUAACACCUCGCAACUGGAGAGCGGCGCGGCCACGCCGUAAAACACCCAACUUCUGAAUGUUGACCUCGAAUCAGGUAGGAAUACCCGCUGAACUUAAGCAUAUCAAUAAGCGGAGGA